This 537-nucleotide ribosomal RNA is filed under the name uncultured bacterium. RNAcentral's name for it is "bacterial LSU rRNA". It matches the Rfam family "Bacterial large subunit ribosomal RNA", at positions 641 to 1178 of the family's 2925-position model. The record is from RNAcentral.
CGAAGGUUAACCAGUGAUGGAAGCCGAGCGAAAGCGAGUCUGAAUAGGGCGUUUAGUCGCGUGCUGUAGACCCGAGCCGAGUGAUCUAUCCAUGGGCAGGUUGAAGCGAGGGUAAGACCUCGUGGAGGACCGAACCCACCUAGGUUAAAAACUGGGGGGAUGACCUGUGGAUAGGGGGUGAAAGGCCAAAUCAAACUCGGUGAUAGCUGGUUCUCCCCGAAAUGCAUUUAGGUGCAGCGUCGUUUGUUCAGUCAUGGGGGUAGAGCACUGGAUGGGUUAGGGGGCCUACAAGCUUACCGACCCCAACCAAACUCCGAAUACCAUGACUCCAGAGAACGGCAGUGAGACUGCGGGGGAUGAGCUUCGCAGUCGAAAGGGAAACAGCCCAGACCGCCGGCUAAGGCCCCAAAUUCUAGACUAAGUGGAAAACGAUGUGAGAUUGCCCAGACAGCCAGGAGGUUGGCUUAGAAGCAGCCACCCUUGAAAGAGUGCGUAACAGCUCACUGGUCGAGUGAUCUUGCGCGGAUAAUGUAACGG